GAAAAAACGUUGAUAGGAAUUAGUACAAAGAUUGUUUUGCUCAGAGAGUCGGUGGUUGCUGUGAACCGAUCAAAAAAUCUUUGGAAUCCAUCCUGGAGUAAGCUGGUGGAAGGUUGAAUGUAACUAAAACCAGUUCGGUUUAUCCGUUAUCAAGACUUAAGCUGGCAUUUUAAUUUAUUUGGAAUGCAAUUUGGGUGGCAACGCGGGUGUAAGCUCGUCCCUUCU
Molecule: non-coding RNA, 225 nt
Filed under: Alkalihalobacillus alcalophilus
Lineage: Bacteria; Bacillati; Bacillota; Bacilli; Caryophanales; Bacillaceae
Description: Bacillus alcalophilus T-box sequence
Rfam family: T-box leader
About the family: Uncharged tRNA acts as the effector for transcription antitermination of genes in the T-box leader family. T-boxes are found upstream of many aminoacyl-tRNA synthetase genes and some amino acid biosynthetic genes usually in Gram-positive bacteria. The anticodon of a specific tRNA base pairs to a specifier sequence within the T-box motif, and the NCCA acceptor tail of the tRNA base pairs to a conserved bulge in the T-box antiterminator hairpin.
Source: RNAcentral